CCUACGGGUGGCAGCAGUGAGGAAUAUUGGUCAAUGGACGAGAGCCUGAACCAGCCAAGUAGCGUGAAGGAUGACUGCCCUAUGGGUUGUAAACUUCUUUUAUAUGGGAAUAAAACCAGGCAUGUAUACCCUCUUGUAUGUACUUUAUGAAUAAGGAUCGGCUAACUCCGUGCCAGCAGCCGCGGUAAUACGGAGGAUCCGAGCGUUAUCCGGAUUUAUUGGGUUUAAAGGGAGCGUAGGUGGAUUGUUAAGUCAGUUGUGAAAGUUUGCGGCUCAACCGUAAAAUUGCAAUUGAAACUGGCAGUCUUGAGUACAGUAGAGGUAGGCGGAAUGCGUGGUGUAGCGGUGAAAUGCUUAGAUAUCACGAAGAACUCCGAUUGCGAAGGCAGCUCACUAAACUGCAACUGACACUGAUGCUCGAAAGUGUGGGUAUCAAACAGGAUUAGAUACCCGUGUAGUC
This 460-nucleotide ribosomal RNA is filed under the name uncultured bacterium. Its description in RNAcentral is "partial 16S ribosomal RNA". It matches the Rfam family "Bacterial small subunit ribosomal RNA", at positions 338 to 795 of the family's 1533-position model. The record is from RNAcentral.